CGGCGUGCCUAACACAUGCAAGUCGAGCGAUCUUCUUCGGAAGAGAGCGGCGGACGGGUGAGUAACGCGUGGGUAACCUGCCCUGUACACACGGAUAACAUACCGAAAGGUAUGCUAAUACGGGAUAACAUAAGAAAUUCGCAUGUUUUUCUUAUCAAAGCUCCGGCGGUACAGGAUGGACCCGCGUCUGAUUAGCUAGUUGGUGAGGUAACGGCUCACCAAGGCGACGAUCAGUAGCCGACCUGAGAGGGUGAUCGGCCACAUUGGAACUGAGACACGGUCCAAACUCCUACGGGAGGCAGCAGUGGGGACUAUUGCACAAUGGGCGAAAGCCUGAUGCAGCGACGCCGCGUGAGCGAUGAAGGCCUUCGGGUCGUAAAGCUCUGUCCUCAAGGAAGAUAAUGACGGUACUUGAGGAGGAAGCCCCGGCUAACUACGUGCCAGCAGCCGCGGUAAUACGUAGGGGGCUAGCGUUAUCCGGAUUUACUGGGCGUAAAGGGAGCGUAGGCGGAUUUUUAAGUGGGAUGUGAAAUACCCGGGCUCAACCUGGGUGCUGCAUUCCAAACUGGAAAUCUAGAGUGCAGGAGGGGAAAGUGGAAUUCCUAGUGUAGCGGUGAAAUGCGUAGAGAUUAGGAGGAACACCAGUGGCGAAGGCGGCUUACUGGACGGUAACUGACGUUGAGGCUCGAAAGCGUGGGGAGCAAACAGGAUUAGAUACCCUGGUAGUCCACGCCGUAAACGAUGACUACUAGGUGUCGGGCAGCAAAGCUGUUCGGUGCCGCAGCAAACGCAAUAAGCAUUCCACCUGGGGAGUACGUUCGCAAGAAUGAAACUCAAAGGAAUUGACGGGGACCCGCACAAGCGGUGGAGCAUGUGGUUUAAUUCGAAGCAACGCGAAGAACCUUACCAAGUCUUGACAUCCCCCUGACCGGACAGUAAUGUGUCCUUUCCUUCGGGACAGGGGAGACAGGUGGUGCAUGGUUGUCGUCAGCUCGUGUCGCGAGAUGUUGGGUUAAGUCCCGCAACGAGCGCAACCCUUAUCCUUAGUAGCCAGCAGUAAGAUGGGCACUCUAGGGAGACUGCCAGGGAUAACCUGGAGGAAGGUGGGGAUGACGUCAAAUCAUCAUGCCCCUUAUGAUUUGGGCUACACACGUGCUACAAUGGCGUAAACAAAGAGAAGCGAGCCUGCGAGGGGGAGCGAAUCUCAAAAAUAACGUCCCAGUUCGGACUGUAGUCUGCAACCCGACUACACGAAGCUGGAAUCGCUAGUAAUCGCGGAUCAGAAUGCCGCGGUGAAUACGUUCCCGGGUCUUGUACACACCGCCCGUCACACCAUGGGAGUCAGCAACGCCCGAAGUCAGUGACUCAACCGCAAGGAGAGAGCUGCCGAAGGCGGGGCAGGUAACUGGG
This 1410-nucleotide ribosomal RNA is filed under the name uncultured organism. Its description in RNAcentral is "16S ribosomal RNA". It matches the Rfam family "Bacterial small subunit ribosomal RNA". The record is from RNAcentral.